CUAAACAUAUUACCGAAACUGUGGAUGAACCUCUUUAGAGGUUCGUGGUAGGAGAGCGUUCUAAGGGCGGUGAAGUCAGACCGGAAGGACUGGUGGAGCGCUUAGAAGUGAGAAUGCCGGUAUGAGUAGCGAAAGAAGGGUGAGAAUCCCUUCCACCGAAUAUCUAAGGUUUCCUGAGGAAGGCUCGUCCGCUCAGGGUUAGUCGGGACCUAAGCCGAGGCCGAUAGGCGUAGGCGAUGGACAACAGGUAGAGAUUCCUGUACCAGUGCUAAUUGUUUAACCGAUGGGGUGACACAGAAGGAUAGGGAAUCGCACGAAUGGAAAUGUGCGUCCAAGCAGUGAGUGUGAGAAGUAGGCAAAUCCGCUUCUCGCGAAGCAUGAGCUGUGAUGGGGAAGGAAAUUAAGUACGGAAGUUCCUGAUUUCACGCUGUCAAGAAAAGCCUCUAGGAAGAGUAGUACUGCCCGUACCGCAAACCGACACAGGUAGAUGAGGAGAGAAUCCUAAGGUGAGCGAGAGAACUCUCGUUAAGGAACUCGGCAAAAUGACCCCGUAACUUCGGGAGAAGGGGUGCUCUAUUAGGGUGCAAGCCCGAGAGAGCCGCAGUGAAUAGGCCCAGGCGACUGUUUAGCAAAAACACAGGUCUCUGCAAAACCGUAAGGUGACGUAUAGGGGCUGACGCCUGCCCGGUGCUGGAAGGUUAAGAGGAGUGCUUAGCUUCGGCGAAGGUACGAAUUGAAGCCCCAGUAAACGGCGGCCGUAACUAUAACGGUCCUAAGGUAGCGAAAUUCCUUGUCGGGUAAGUUCCGACCCGCACGAAAGGCGCAACGAUCUGGGCACUGUCUCAACGAGAGACUCGGUGAAAUUAUAGUACCUGUGAAGAUGCAGGUUACCCGCGACAGGACGGAAAGACCCCGUGGAGCUUUACUGCAACCUGAUAUGGAAUGUUUGUACCGCUUGUACAGGAUAGGUAGGAGCCGAAGAGACGUGUGCGCUAGCAUACGAGGAGGCAAUGGUGGGAUACUACCCUGGCUGU
Molecule: ribosomal RNA, 1034 nt
Filed under: Listeria monocytogenes
Lineage: Bacteria; Bacillati; Bacillota; Bacilli; Caryophanales; Listeriaceae
Description: partial 23S ribosomal RNA
Rfam family: Bacterial large subunit ribosomal RNA
Source: RNAcentral